This 530-nucleotide ribosomal RNA is filed under the name uncultured bacterium. RNAcentral describes it as "bacterial SSU rRNA". It matches the Rfam family "Bacterial small subunit ribosomal RNA", at positions 778 to 1306 of the family's 1533-position model. The record is from RNAcentral.
AUAGAUACCCUGGUAGUCCAUGCCGUAAACGUUGGGCACUAGGUGUGGGGCUCAUUCCACGAGUUCCGUGCCGCAGCAAACGCAUUAAGUGCCCCGCCUGGGGAGUACGGCCGCAAGGCUAAAACUCAAAGGAAUUGACGGGGGCCCGCACAAGCGGCGGAGCAUGCGGAUUAAUUCGAUGCAACGCGAAGAACCUUACCAAGGCUUGACAUGCACGGGAAGCCACCAGAGAUGGUGGUCUCUUUGGACACUCGUGCACAGGUGGUGCAUGGUUGUCGUCAGCUCGUGUCGUGAGAUGUUGGGUUAAGUCCCGCAACGAGCGCAACCCUCGUCCCAUGUUGCCAGCGGGUUAUGCCGGGGACUCAUGGGAGACUGCCGGGGUCAACUCGGAGGAAGGUGGGGAUGACGUCAAAUCAUCAUGCCCCUUAUGUCUUGGGCUUCACGCAUGCUACAAUGGCCGGUACAAAGGGCUGCGAUGCCGUAAGGUGGAGCGAAUCCCAAAAAGCCGGUCUCAGUUCGGAUUGGGGUCG